RNAcentral lists this ribosomal RNA (254 nucleotides) under uncultured bacterium. RNAcentral's name for it is "partial 16S ribosomal RNA". It matches the Rfam family "Bacterial small subunit ribosomal RNA", at positions 524 to 776 of the family's 1533-position model. The record is from RNAcentral.
GACGUAGGAUGCAAGCGUUGUCCGGAUUUAUUGGGCGUAAAGAGCUCGUAGGCGGCUUGUCGCGUCAACUGUGAAAACCCGUGGCUCAACCAUGUGGUCUGCAGUCGAUACGGGCAGGCUAGAAUUCGGUAGGGGAGACUGGAAUUCCUGGUGUAGCGGUGAAAUGCGCAGAUAUCAGGAGGAACACCGGUGGCGAAGGCGGGUCUCUGGGCCGAUAUUGACGCUGAGGAGCGAAAGCGUGGGGAGCGAACAGG